RNAcentral lists this ribosomal RNA (164 nucleotides) under uncultured bacterium. RNAcentral describes it as "partial 16S rRNA". It matches the Rfam family "Bacterial small subunit ribosomal RNA", at positions 355 to 511 of the family's 1533-position model. The record is from RNAcentral.
UAGGGAAUCUUCGGCAAUGGGGCAACCCUGACCGAGCAACGCCGCGUGAGUGAAGAAGGUUUUCGGAUCGUAAAGCUCUGUUGUAAGAGAAGAACGUGUGUGAGAGUGGAAAGUUCACACAGUGACGGUAACUUACCAGAAAGGGACGGCUAACUACGUGCCAU